RNAcentral lists this ribosomal RNA (253 nucleotides) under uncultured bacterium. RNAcentral describes it as "partial 16S ribosomal RNA". It matches the Rfam family "Bacterial small subunit ribosomal RNA", at positions 524 to 776 of the family's 1533-position model. The record is from RNAcentral.
UACGUAGGGUACAAGCGUUGUCCGGAAUUAUUGGGCGUAAAGAGCUCGUAGGCGGUUUGUCGCGUCUGCUGUGAAAUCCCAGGGCUUAACCCUGGGCCUGCAGUGGGUACGGGCAAACUAGAGUGCGGUAGGGGAGAUCGGAAUUCCGGGUGUAGUGGUGAAAUGCGUAGAGAUCCGGAGGAACCCCAGAGGCGAAGGCGGCGCUCUGGCUCGCAACUGACGCUCAGACACGACAGCAUGGGGAGCGAACGGG